CCUACGGGAUGCAGCAGUGGGGAAUAUUGCACAAUGGGGGAAACCCUGAUGCAGCGACGCCGCGUGAGUGAAGAAGUAAUUCGUUACGUAAAGCUCUAUCAGCAGGGAAGAAAAUGACGGUACCUGAGUAAGAAGCCCCGGCUAACUACGUGCCAGCAGCAGCGGUAAUACGGAGGGGGCAAGCGUUAUCCGGAUUUACUGGGUGUAAAGGGUGCGUAGACGGUGCGCCAAGUCUGGAGUGAAAUGCCGCAGCUUAACUGCGGAACUGCUUUGGAAACUGGCGAACUAGAGGGCAGGAGGGGUAGGCGGAAUGCCUGGUGUAGCGGUGAAAUGCGUAGAGAUUAGGAAGAACACCGAUGGCGAAGGCGGCUUACUGGACCGUAACUGACGUUGAGGCUCGAAAGCGUGGGGAGCAAACAGGAUUAGAUACCCUAGUAGUC
Molecule: ribosomal RNA, 440 nt
Filed under: uncultured bacterium
Lineage: Bacteria
Description: partial 16S ribosomal RNA
Rfam family: Bacterial small subunit ribosomal RNA
Source: RNAcentral